Molecule: ribosomal RNA, 529 nt
Filed under: Ascaridia nymphii
Lineage: Eukaryota; Metazoa; Nematoda; Chromadorea; Rhabditida; Ascaridiidae
Description: SSU rRNA
Rfam family: Eukaryotic small subunit ribosomal RNA
Source: RNAcentral
UUGGACCGUAGCGAGACGCCCGACCGCGAAAGCAUUUGCCAAGAAUGUCUUCAUUAAUCAAGAACGAAAGUCAGAGGUUCGAAGGCGAUCAGAUACCGCCCUAGUUCUGACCGUAAACGAUACCAACUAGCGUUCCGUCAUCGGUAAAUAUGCCUUGACGGGCAGCCCCCCGGAAACGAAAGUGUUUCGGUUCCGGGGGAAGUAUGGUUGCAAAGCUGAAACUUAAAGAGAUUGACGGAAGGGCACCACCAGGAGUGGAGCCUGCGGCUUAAUUUGACUCAACACGGGAAAACUCACCUGGCCCGGACACCGUGAGGAUUGACAGAUUGAGAGCUCUUUCUUGAUUCGGUGGUUGGUGGCGCAUGGCCGUUCGUGGUUCGUGGAUUGGUCUGUCAGGUUUAUUCCGAUAACGAGCGAGACUCUGACCUACUAAAUAGUGUCUAGAUUAUUUUUGUCUUGACGACUUCUUAGAGGGACAAGCGGUGUUCAGCCGCAUGAAGUUGAGCAAUAACAGAUCUGUGAUGCCCUU